Molecule: unclassified non-coding RNA, 210 nt
Organism: Ursus americanus (American black bear)
Lineage: Eukaryota; Metazoa; Chordata; Mammalia; Carnivora; Ursidae
Source: Ensembl
GGCUGAAUCGAGUGUCGGAGCAUGAAUUCUUAGCGCUGGCCGCCGCAAGACAGGGUAGAGGGAGCGGCGGCACAGAGCUCGCGGAUCUAGUGUGGCUGCACAGGCCAAGGUAUAGAACUGGACAGGCGAAAGAGAAGCAGCGGCGCCUCCAGCCGCAGCGCUGCUGCCAGUUAAAGGACUGCCUCUCCCGGAUCGCCGCAGUCUGCUCCU